Piliocolobus tephrosceles (Ugandan red Colobus) is the source of this 3800-nucleotide RNA transcript. It is a transcript of the gene named tectonin beta-propeller repeat-containing protein 2-like, with no coding region annotated. The transcript is spliced from 4 exons. NCBI's taxonomy places the organism in Eukaryota, Metazoa, Chordata, Mammalia, Primates, Cercopithecidae. The record is from RefSeq and is a predicted model, not a curated record.
CCCCAUCCUCCUCGCUGCCCUGUCUCUCCAUCCUCCAUGUCCUGAUCCACUGGGACUGGCCCUGGGGCUGAGGCGUGAGACUUGGUGCCCACGGGAGGCAUUUCGUACAUGUGUUCACCAGCCCACAGUUAGGGGCCCCUGCCCAGAGCAGCCGGCGGGUGAGGAUGCGGGCAGCCUGGAGAGGGCAGCUCGAUCAGAGAGGCGCAGGUGGAGGGAGGUCCCACUGCUGAGGGCCCUGAGAGCGUCUGGACCCGGCAAGUAUGUGACACGGGCACUAUGACAGGAGCACUGCGCGGCCAGAGUGCGGCACAGGGCAUCCAGUGUGACUGUAUUCACGGCAGCCCUGAGCACAAAGCAAGGAGCAGGACAUGUGUGGCGGCAGCAAGGGACCCGCCAGUUUCCACUGGGUGGCCCACUCAGGGUCCCAUGGAGGCGGACCAGGAGGGCAGGGACCCAAGACCACAGAUGUAGCAGGGAAGACUGUGGGUUCCAGAAAAGCAGGCAGCGCAGGCGGUGGAAGACAGCCAGCCCCUUGGGGCUCAGGUCACCCACCAGCACUGCUGGUCCCCCAGACAGUGCUGUGCUUGCCGGCACGGAGGCCUGGUCCAACCAAGGGGUGGGCAGCCCUGGGGCAAACUGGAGCCGCCAGUGGACAGCAAACAGGACCCUGGAGGGACGUCCUCCUGUCCUGUGAAGAGCAGACAAAGAACCGGAGGUGCUGAGCGUGGACAGAGGCUGCCCAAGGACCAGGGCAGGGUGGCAGUCUUGUGCCACGACCUGGGCAACAGGAACGUUGCCCGCCCGGCAGCACAUUCGGGAGGACGGCUAUGCCUAGAGGAAAGGGGCGUCAGCUGAGCCAGGAUGGUGAGGGCGGCACAGGCAGGUGGCAGGGGCUCCUGGGCUGGCGUUACUGUUUCUCACAGUGCCCACCACAAUCCUUCACAGCCAGGUCCGCCGUGCCUCUCCUCUCAUUCCUCCACUCUCUGUUCACCUGGGCCGUCCCUGCCCUUCUUGGUCUCCUGCUGGAGUCCAUGCUGGUAUCCGCUGGGCUGUCCCUCAGUCUGGCCCACCUGACAUUCUGGAGACAAGUGGCCGUCUCCCCUGUGAGACCUGCACCGGGGACAGGACAUGGCCUCUCUGCCUCCUGCGGGGCCCACCCACCCUGGCUGCUGCAUGCUGCCACUAACAUGUCCCCAGUUCUGGAAGCCUCCUGUCCCUCCUCUUGUCACCCAACUCCUGCCUUCCCUGAAAGUCCCUUCCCGCUUCCAGCCCGCCGGGGUCAACUUGGUCAGCGUCCAUUCCAGCCCCAACGACCAGAUGCUGUGGGUGCUUGACAGCAGGUGGAACGUGCACGUGCGGACCGGGAUCACCGAGGAGAUGCCUGUGGGGACCGCCUGGGAGCACGUGCCAGGGUUGCAGGCCUGCCAGCUGGCGCUGAGCACCAGGACCGUGUGGGCCCGCUGUCCAAACGGAGACCUCGCCCGGCGGUAUGGCGUCACAGACAAGAACCCCGCCGGAGACUACUGGAAGAAAAUUCCGGGCAGUGUGGCGUGUUUCACAGUGACUGCGUCAGAUGAGCUGUGGGCUGUGGGCCCGCCCGGCUACCUCCUCCGACGGCUGACAAAGACGUUCAGCCACUCGCAUGGCACCCAGAAGAGCAGCCAGGCCGCCAUGCCCCACCCCGAGGAUCUGGAGGACGAGUGGGAGGUCAUCUGAAGGAGCCCUGGCAGAGUCACGCGGAGGGGCCAGGCCUCCCUGGUGGCCACAGUGGCUUCGGUGUCACUUCCUGGUGGACGUGCUGCCUCGACACUUGUCCAGACACCUCUGGCCAGCCAGCAAACGAAACCAUAUCGCAGAAGUGCCCAGCUGGAAACCAGCACACGCAAAAGAUGACGCCCGGAACAGCAGCAGCACACACCACGUACCCGGAAAUGACCUCAGCCAGAAACCUCAGGCCAUGUGAAGAGCGGCAAAGCUUCCAGAAGACAUAAAAGGAAACUUGAAUAAAGGAAGAUCUGUUCCACAUUCCUGGAUGGAGGACUACACACAUUAUGGAAAGACCUCAUUCUUUCCAAAGGGAUUUAUAGGUGUAGCUUGAUUUCACUUCCAGUCCCCACUGGGAUUGUUUUGUUGGGGCAGGCAGGGAGGAAUAAUGUUAGUGCCCACAAAUGCCCAUGACUGUGGCCAAUGUGCUGCUCACCAGAGCCCAGCAAGGUGAAGUCUCAUUAGCCCCUUGAGAAUCAGAGAGGUUAGGUAGCUUGCUCAAGCUCACCCAGCACUGAGACUGGAAGCCAGCUGCUCUGUAGAACUGCAGACCCUGUGCUGUUUGAUGCCUCCUCACUGUUCCCUGUCACUCCUGGGAAGAAGAAACGGGUGAGAACUGCUAAGUGAUGACAGGUGGAAUUGCAGCAGGGGCCAGACCCUCGGAGGGCCAGGCAGCAGCCUAGCGAGGCCCACAGGGAGGAAGCAGAAUGGAGGGGGCAUCUCAGAUGCGUUUAAGGAGCGGCGGGGGGUGGGGGAGGUGUCACAACUAAUGUGGCCACUGCUUCAUUCUCUGGGCAAAAUAAUAUUAAAUGGGUUAAAGAAUCUAAAACUAGUGGGGAAACUGAUUUCUGGAUGGCAAAGGCUUUCUAAACUCAAAAGUGAUGGGACAAGCCACAGAGGAAAAUAAGUACGUAGAUUUGAUUUCUCCAAAAUGUAGAAAUGCUGCUGGACACAGUGACAUGCACUUGUAGUCCCAGCUACUUGGGAGGCCAAGGCAGGAGGACUGCUUGAGCCCAGGAGUUUGAGACUGCAAUAAACUGUGAUCACACCACUGUACUGCAGCCUUGGCGACAGAGCAAGACCUUAUUUCUCAAAAAUAAGUAAGCAGAAGGAAAUAAAUGUAAAAAUGCUGCAAAUUAAAAACCUCAAAGAAGGGGAAUAAUUGCAACAAAUGGGAAUUGAUGUUGAAUAUUUACCUUAAAAACUUAUACAAACAAUACGAGGAGUGCGCCCUUCGCCAGCACGUAUACAAAAAUCGUAAUGAUACAGAGGUUAGCGUGGCCCCUGCGUAAGGAUGAUUCGCAAAUUUGUGAAGCGUUCCAUAAAUAUAUUUAUUAACUAAAAACCAAUAGGAGGAGCACUUCAAGUCCAGUGUAAGAGCCCUUCACGAAAGCAGAAGGAACACUGGUCCGAACCCCCAGCACCCCAGAAGGAGAGGUGAGAUGGGAGCAGCCUGGGAGCCCCCCAUUGGCGCCGUCCUGCUGGGAAAGCCAGUCCGUAUGUAGGCUUUGCAUCUUGCCACCUCCACUUCUGUCCUCAAGAACAAGUCCUAAGUCAAGGAAAACAGUACAGCCUGUUUAUAAUUAGGAAGCACUUAAAACAGCCUGGCAUUUGGGAACAGCCAUGUUAACGGGAGCAAAUUCCCCUCAUGAAAUAGCCUGCAGCUGUUAAGAAGCACGUGUGUGCAGGAAGCGGCCAUGCAGGACCUCACCGCGCCAGCGUGCAGUUCCUGGGCCUGGUCAUGAAAACGUGGUUCUGUAGGAAAUCAGAGGGAGAAAGGGAGAGAAGGGGGAGGGAGACAACCCAAACAUUGGAGGGUAUUUGUUGUAAGCUUCAAACUUUCGGCAGGUUUGAAAUGUUUCAUAACUCCAGGGAGGAGAAGGAGGGGCGAAAAGAAACAAGUUCUCUACUUGUGAUGAGCAGCUGGUCACAGUGGUUGCCUGAAGUAUAUGCCUUUUUGUAUCCUUUGAAUUUCCAGCCAUGUAAAUAUAUUAUUUAUUCCAAAAAUAAAUCAGAAUUUACAUUUUAAAAAUUCA